This 666-nucleotide ribosomal RNA is filed under the name bacterium IMCC11760. RNAcentral's name for it is "bacterial SSU rRNA". It matches the Rfam family "Bacterial small subunit ribosomal RNA", at positions 26 to 737 of the family's 1533-position model. The record is from RNAcentral.
AAACGUACGCUGGCGGCACGCCUAACACAUGCAAGUCGAACGAAGUAGCAAUACUUAGUGGCAGACGGGUGAGUAACAUGUAGGUAUCUGCCCUUUGGCCUGGAAUAAACACGAGGAAACUUGUGCUAAUACCGGAUAAGUCUUUACGGAGAAAGCUUUAUGCACCAUUGGAUGAGCCUGCACUUGAUUAGUUUGUUGGUGGGGUAAUGGCCUACCAAGACUGUGAUCAAUAGCUGAUUUGAGAGGAUGAUCAGCCACAUUGGGACUGAGACACGGCCCAAACUCCUACGGGAGGCAGCAGUGGGGAAUCUUGCACAAUGGAGGAAACUCUGAUGCAGCGAUGCCGCGUGAGUGAAGAAGGCCCUUGGGUUGUAAAGCUCUUUCGUCGGGGAAGAAAAUGACUGUACCCGAAUAAGAAGGUCCGGCUAACUUCGUGCCAGCAGCCGCGGUAAUACGAAGGGACCUAGCGUAGUUCGGAAUUACUGGGCUUAAAGAGUUUGUAGGUGGUUGAAAAAGUUAGUGGUGAAAUCCCAGAGCUUAACUCUGGAACUUCCAUUAAAACUUUUCAGCUAGAGUAUGAUAGAGGAAAGCAGAAUUUCUAGUGUAGAGGUGAAAUUGGUAGAUAUUAGAAAGAAUACCAAUUGCGAAGGCAUCUUUCUGGAUCAU